RNAcentral lists this ribosomal RNA (2902 nucleotides) under Escherichia coli. Its description in RNAcentral is "bacterial LSU rRNA". It matches the Rfam family "Bacterial large subunit ribosomal RNA". Lineage: Bacteria; Pseudomonadati; Pseudomonadota; Gammaproteobacteria; Enterobacterales; Enterobacteriaceae. RNAcentral also lists the same sequence under 3 other names. The record is from RNAcentral.
UUAAGCGACUAAGCGUACACGGUGGAUGCCCUGGCAGUCAGAGGCGAUGAAGGACGUGCUAAUCUGCGAUAAGCGUCGGUGAGGUGAUAUGAACCGUUAUAACCGGCGAUUUCCGAAUGGGGAAACCCAGUGUGAUUCGUCACACUAUCAUUAACUGAAUCCAUAGGUUAAUGAGGCGAACCGGGGGAACUGAAACAUCUAAGUACCCCGAGGAAAAGAAAUCAACCGAGAUUCCCCCAGUAGCGGCGAGCGAACGGGGAGGAGCCCAGAGCCUGAAUCAGUGUGUGUGUUAGUGGAAGCGUCUGGAAAGGCGUGCGAUACAGGGUGACAGCCCCGUACACAAAAAUGCACAUACUGUGAGCUCGAUGAGUAGGGCGGGACACGUGGUAUCCUGUCUGAAUAUGGGGGGACCAUCCUCCAAGGCUAAAUACUCCUGACUGACCGAUAGUGAACCAGUACCGUGAGGGAAAGGCGAAAAGAACCCCGGCGAGGGGAGUGAAAAAGAACCUGAAACCGUGUACGUACAAGCAGUGGGAGCCUCUUAAUGGGGUGACUGCGUACCUUUUGUAUAAUGGGUCAGCGACUUAUAUUCUGUAGCAAGGUUAACCGAAUAGGGGAGCCGAAGGGAAACCGAGUCUUAACUGGGCGUUAAGUUGCAGGGUAUAGACCCGAAACCCGGUGAUCUAGCCAUGGGCAGGUUGAAGGUUGGGUAACACUAACUGGAGGACCGAACCGACUAAUGUUGAAAAAUUAGCGGAUGACUUGUGGCUGGGGGUGAAAGGCCAAUCAAACCGGGAGAUAGCUGGUUCUCCCCGAAAGCUAUUUAGGUAGCGCCUCGUGAAUUCAUCUCCGGGGGUAGAGCACUGUUUCGGCAAGGGGGUCAUCCCGACUUACCAACCCGAUGCAAACUGCGAAUACCGGAGAAUGUUAUCACGGGAGACACACGGCGGGUGCUAACGUCCGUCGUGAAGAGGGAAACAACCCAGACCGCCAGCUAAGGUCCCAAAGUCAUGGUUAAGUGGGAAACGAUGUGGGAAGGCCCAGACAGCCAGGAUGUUGGCUUAGAAGCAGCCAUCAUUUAAAGAAAGCGUAAUAGCUCACUGGUCGAGUCGGCCUGCGCGGAAGAUGUAACGGGGCUAAACCAUGCACCGAAGCUGCGGCAGCGACACUAUGUGUUGUUGGGUAGGGGAGCGUUCUGUAAGCCUGUGAAGGUGUACUGUGAGGUAUGCUGGAGGUAUCAGAAGUGCGAAUGCUGACAUAAGUAACGAUAAAGCGGGUGAAAAGCCCGCUCGCCGGAAGACCAAGGGUUCCUGUCCAACGUUAAUCGGGGCAGGGUGAGUCGACCCCUAAGGCGAGGCCGAAAGGCGUAGUCGAUGGGAAACAGGUUAAUAUUCCUGUACUUGGUGUUACUGCGAAGGGGGGACGGAGAAGGCUAUGUUGGCCGGGCGACGGUUGUCCCGGUUUAAGCGUGUAGGCUGGUUUUCCAGGCAAAUCCGGAAAAUCAAGGCUGAGGCGUGAUGACGAGGCACUACGGUGCUGAAGCAACAAAUGCCCUGCUUCCAGGAAAAGCCUCUAAGCAUCAGGUAACAUCAAAUCGUACCCCAAACCGACACAGGUGGUCAGGUAGAGAAUACCAAGGCGCUUGAGAGAACUCGGGUGAAGGAACUAGGCAAAAUGGUGCCGUAACUUCGGGAGAAGGCACGCUGAUAUGUAGGUGAAGUCCCUCGCGGAUGGAGCUGAAAUCAGUCGAAGAUACCAGCUGGCUGCAACUGUUUAUUAAAAACACAGCACUGUGCAAACACGAAAGUGGACGUAUACGGUGUGACGCCUGCCCGGUGCCGGAAGGUUAAUUGAUGGGGUUAGCGGUAACGCGAAGCUCUUGAUCGAAGCCCCGGUAAACGGCGGCCGUAACUAUAACGGUCCUAAGGUAGCGAAAUUCCUUGUCGGGUAAGUUCCGACCUGCACGAAUGGCGUAAUGAUGGCCAGGCUGUCUCCACCCGAGACUCAGUGAAAUUGAACUCGCUGUGAAGAUGCAGUGUACCCGCGGCAAGACGGAAAGACCCCGUGAACCUUUACUAUAGCUUGACACUGAACAUUGAGCCUUGAUGUGUAGGAUAGGUGGGAGGCUUUGAAGUGUGGACGCCAGUCUGCAUGGAGCCGGCCUUGAAAUACCACCCUUUAAUGUUUGAUGUUCUAACGUUGGCCCCUGACCGGGGUUGCGGACAGUGUCUGGUGGGUAGUUUGACUGGGGCGGUCUCCUCCUAAAGAGUAACGGAGGAGCACGAAGGUUGGCUAAUCCUGGUCGGACAUCAGGAGGUUAGUGCAAUGGCAUAAGCCAGCUUGACUGCGAGCGUGACGGCGCGAGCAGGUGCGAAAGCAGGUCAUAGUGAUCCGGUGGUUCUGAAUGGAAGGGCCAUCGCUCAACGGAUAAAAGGUACUCCGGGGAUAACAGGCUGAUACCGCCCAAGAGUUCAUAUCGACGGCGGUGUUUGGCACCUCGAUGUCGGCUCAUCACAUCCUGGGGCUGAAGUAGGUCCCAAGGGUAUGGCUGUUCGCCAUUUAAAGUGGUACGCGAGCUGGGUUUAGAACGUCGUGAGACAGUUCGGUCCCUAUCUGCCGUGGGCGCUGGAGAACUGAGGGGGGCUGCUCCUAGUACGAGAGGACCGGAGUGGACGCAUCACUGGUGUUCGGGUUGUCAUGCCAAUGGCACUGCCCGGUAGCUAAAUGCGGAAGAGAUAAGUGCUGAAAGCAUCUAAGCACGAAACUUGCCCCGAGAUGAGUUCUCCCUGACUCCUUGAGAGUCCUGAAGGAACGUUGAAGACGACGACGUUGAUAGGCCGGGUGUGUAAGCGCAGCGAUGCGUUGAGCUAACCGGUACUAAUGAACCGUGAGGCUUAACCUU